CCUACGGGUGGCAGCAGUGAGGAAUAUUGGUCAAUGGCCGGAAGGCUGAACCAGCCAAGCCGCGUGAAGGACGAAGGUGCCAAGCAUUGUAAACUUCUUUUGUCAAGGGACAAAAUCAGGCUCGAGAGCCUGACCGAGGGUACUUGAAGAAAAAGCAUCGGCUAACUCCGUGCCAGCAGCCGCGGUAAUACGGAGGAUGCGAGCGUUAUCCGGAUUUAUGGGGUUUAAAGGGUGCGUAGGCGGACUGUUAAGUCAGCGGUAAAAGCCCGGGGCUCAACCCCGGCGAGCCGUUGAACGUGGCUGUCUUGAGAUGUCGAGAGGUAUGCGGAAUGCGCAGUGUAGCGGUGAAAUGCUUAGAUAUUGCGCAGAACUCCGAUUGCGAAGGCAGCAUACCGGCGGCGAUCUGACGCUGAGGCACGAAAGCGUGGGUAUCGAACAGGAUUAGAUACCCCUGUAGUC
Molecule: ribosomal RNA, 459 nt
Filed under: uncultured bacterium
Lineage: Bacteria
Description: partial 16S ribosomal RNA
Rfam family: Bacterial small subunit ribosomal RNA
Source: RNAcentral